Molecule: ribosomal RNA, 820 nt
Filed under: Pseudoalteromonas sp.
Lineage: Bacteria; Pseudomonadati; Pseudomonadota; Gammaproteobacteria; Alteromonadales; Pseudoalteromonadaceae
Description: bacterial SSU rRNA
Rfam family: Bacterial small subunit ribosomal RNA
Source: RNAcentral
AACUGGCAAACUAGAGUGUGAUAGAGAGUGGUAGAAUUUCAGGUGUAGCGGUGAAAAUGCGUAGAGAUCUGAAGGAAUACCGAUGGCGAAGGCAGCCUCGUGGGUCAACACUGACGCUCAUGUACGAAAGCGUGGGGAGCAAACAGGAUUAGAUACCCUGGUAGUCCACGCCGUAAACGAUGUCUACUAGAAGCUCGGAACCUCGGUUCUGUUUUUCAAAGCUAACGCAUUAAGUAGACCGCCUGGGGAGUACGGCCGCAAGGUUAAAACUCAAAUGAAUUGACGGGGGCCCGCACAAGCGGUGGAGCAUGUGGUUUAAUUCGAUGCAACGCGAAGAACCUUACCUACACUUGACAUACAGAGAACUUACCAGAGAUGGUUUGGUGCCUUCGGGAACUCUGAUACAGGUGCUGCAUGGCUGUCGUCAGCUCGUGUUGUGAGAUGUUGGGUUAAGUCCCGCAACGAGCGCAACCCCUAUCUUUAGUUGCUAGCAGGUAAUGCUGAGAACUUUAAGGAGACUGCCGGUGAUAAACCGGAGGAAGGUGGGGAGGACGUCAAGUCAUCAUGGCCCUUACGUGUAGGGCUACACACGUGUUCCAAUGGCGCAUACAGAGUGCUGCGAACUCGCGAGAGUAAGCGAAUCACUUAAAGUGCGUCGUAGUCCGGAUUGGAGUCUGCAAUUCGACUCCAUGAAGUCGGAAUCGUUAGUAAUCGCGUAUCAGAAUGACGCGGUGAAUACGUUCCCGGCCCUUGUACACACCGCCCGUCACACCAUGGGAGUGGGUUGCUCCAGAAGUAGAUAGUCUAACCCUCGGAGGAC